UGUGAUGCAGCAAUCCAUUGCAGUGGAGUAGUAAAAGCAAGCACUGAAGCUGUAACACAUAUAUAUGAAGCACCUUGCAGUUCCUCUUUGCCUAAAAUAUUGAAAAGGUACGAAUAAGACUUGGUUCGUUUGACAAAGGAAGGAAUGGAAGAUUUCAUAUCAAGCAAUGAUGUUUUUUUGUUCAUAGCGGCAAGGUUGGUUUGUCUAAUGUGGUGCAGCAAUCCAUUGCAGUGGAGUAGUAAAAGCAAGCACUGAAGCUGUAACACAUAUACAUGAAGCACCUUUCAGUUCCUCUCUGCCUAAAAUAUUGAAAAGGUACGAUUAAGACUUGGUUCGUUUGACGAAAGAAGGAAUAGAAGAUUUCAUACCAAGAAAUGAUGUUUUGUUCAUAGUUCAUAGCGGCAAGGUUGGUUGGUCUUGUGUCCUUUUUUUCUUUCAAGAUUUGCUGGUUUGCUCUUCUAAAAAACAGGUAGCUUGCAGCAUUUUAAGGUUGGUAUUUGCACCUUUUCUUUGGGCUAAUGAUUAGUCAGAUGACAUCCUGUCACCUGAUGUUUGGUAAUCCAAAAUUUUGGAGAAUUGUCUUGAAGCCGUUCAAGUCUUGAACUAGUUGAAAAUUUGGCACUCAUGGGGCUUGUACUGGCUGUUUGAACUGUUCUCUUUGAACAUCAUGGUUUUGCUUGUUAAUCGCUAUGUAUUUAUAAAUUUGCAUAUACUUUUUACGUGA
RNAcentral lists this long non-coding RNA (724 nucleotides) under Nicotiana benthamiana. Its description in RNAcentral is "long non-coding RNA (NBEN_LNC015025)". The record is from RNAcentral. Lineage: Eukaryota; Viridiplantae; Streptophyta; Magnoliopsida; Solanales; Solanaceae.